Molecule: ribosomal RNA, 255 nt
Filed under: Litchfieldia salsa
Lineage: Bacteria; Bacillati; Bacillota; Bacilli; Caryophanales; Bacillaceae
Description: Bacillus salsus 16S rRNA. Bacterial SSU
Rfam family: Bacterial small subunit ribosomal RNA
Source: RNAcentral
UCUUUUUGGAGAGUUUGAUCCUGGCUCAGGAUGAACGCUGGCGGCGUGCCUAAUACAUGCAAGUCGAGCGGAUCUGAGGGAGCUUGCUCCCAAAGAUUAGCGGCGGACGGGUGAGUAACACGUGGGCAAUCUGCCUGUAAGACUGGGAUAACUUCGGGAAACCGGAGCUAAUACCGGAUAAUAUAGAGAACCGCAUGGUUCCCUAUUAAAAGAUGGUUUCGGCUAUCACUUACAGAUGAGCCCGCGGCGCAUUAG